Molecule: transfer RNA, 68 nt
Filed under: Tegula argyrostoma
Lineage: Eukaryota; Metazoa; Mollusca; Gastropoda; Trochida; Tegulidae
Description: Chlorostoma argyrostomum tRNA-Ser
Source: RNAcentral
AGAAAAAAACUGGGUUAAAACAGGGCUGCUAACUUUGUUUUGGGGGGUUCAAUUCCAUCCUUUUUCUU